This is a non-coding RNA of Pelobates cultripes (western spadefoot toad), 157 nucleotides long. Lineage: Eukaryota; Metazoa; Chordata; Amphibia; Anura; Pelobatidae. The record is from the annotation of a GenBank genome assembly.
GCAGACACAUUCCAGCCGAUCAGCAGCAGACCCACCCUCCCAGACCCUCCCAACUCCUGGACAGCAUCCAUUUUGAAGCUGCAUUCUUAGUGAGCUGUCCAGGAGGUGGGAGGGUCUGGGAGGGAGGGUCUGCUGCUGAUUGGCUGGAAUGUGUCUG